This 492-nucleotide ribosomal RNA is filed under the name uncultured bacterium. Its description in RNAcentral is "bacterial SSU rRNA". It matches the Rfam family "Bacterial small subunit ribosomal RNA", at positions 30 to 504 of the family's 1533-position model. The record is from RNAcentral.
UGAACGCUGGCGGCGUGCCUAAUACAUGCAAGUCGAGCGAACAGAUAAGGAGCUUGCUCCUUUGACGUUAGCGGCGGACGGGUGAGUAACACGUGGGUAACCUACCUAUAAGACUGGAAUAACUCCGGGAAACCGGGGCUAAUGCCGGAUAACAUUUAGAACCGCAUGGUUCUAAAGUGAAAGAUGGUUUUGCUAUCACUUAUAGAUGGACCCGCGCCGUAUUAGCUAGUUGGUAAGGUAAUGGCUUACCAAGGCAACGAUACGUAGCCGACCUGAGAGGGUGAUCGGCCACACUGGAACUGAGACACGGUCCAGACUCCUACGGGAGGCAGCAGUAGGGAAUCUUCCGCAAUGGGCGAAAGCCUGACGGAGCAACGCCGCGUGAGUGAUGAAGGGUUUCGGCUCGUAAAACUCUGUUAUUAGGGAAGAACAAACGUGUAAGUAACUGUGCACGUCUUGACGGUACCUAAUCAGAAAGCCACGGCUAACUAC